UACGAAGGGGGCUAGCGUUGCUCGGAAUUACUGGGCGUAAAGCGCACGUAGGCGGUCUUUUAAGUCGGGGGUGAAAUCCUGGAGCUCAACUCCAGAACUGCCUUCGAUACUGGAAGACUUGAGUCCGGGAGAGGUGAGUGGAACUGCGAGUGUAGAGGUGAAAUUCGUAGAUAUUCGCAAGAACACCAGUGGCGGAAGGCGGCUCACUGGCCCGGUACUGACGCUGAGGUGCGAAAGCGUGGGGAGCAAACAGG
This 254-nucleotide ribosomal RNA is filed under the name uncultured bacterium. RNAcentral's name for it is "partial 16S ribosomal RNA". It matches the Rfam family "Bacterial small subunit ribosomal RNA", at positions 524 to 776 of the family's 1533-position model. The record is from RNAcentral.